RNAcentral lists this ribosomal RNA (468 nucleotides) under uncultured bacterium. RNAcentral's name for it is "partial 16S ribosomal RNA". It matches the Rfam family "Bacterial small subunit ribosomal RNA", at positions 28 to 507 of the family's 1533-position model. The record is from RNAcentral.
GACGAACGCUGGCGGCGUGCUUAACACAUGCAAGUCGAACGGAAAGGCCCUGCUUUUGUGGGGUGCUCGAGUGGCGAACGGGUGAGUAACACGUGAGUAACCUGCCCUUGACUUUGGGAUAACUUCAGGAAACUGGGGCUAAUACCGGAUAGGAGCUCCUGCUGCAUGGUGGGGGUUGGAAAGUUUCGGCGGUUGGGGAUGGACUCGGGGCUUAUCAGCUUGUUGGUGGGGUAGUGGCUUACCAAGGCUUUGACGGGUAGCCGGCCUGAGAGGGUGACCGGCCACAUUGGGACUGAGAUACGGCCCAGACUCCUACGGGAGGCAGCAGUGGGGAAUAUUGCACAAUGGGCGGACGCCUGAUGCAGCAACGCCGCGUGCGGGAUGACGGCCUUCGGGUUGUAAACCGCUUUCGCCUGUGACGAAGCGUGAGUGACGGUAAUGGGUAAAGAAGCACCGGCUAACUACGUG